UUGACGUGGAUGCUUGGGAAUUUUAGGUUAGGAACCGUUGGAUCGCCUCAUCACGGACGCUGGAGAAUUUGUUGAGCUCGGGCUGCCGGGCAUUGGGCUCAAACCCAGCGUUAUUGGGUCUCUUGAAUUACUUGCACUCAAACACAAAUAAAACAUUAAUUAAUCAAUUUUAUUAAUAAAGAUUAGCUAUAAUACUAAUUAAGAUGGUAUGAAAAUUUUACUUUUGUGCUCUCAUCAAUAUGAGUUAGCUUGAAUCAAGUUCUUAGGAUUGGGUUAGACCUAAGGUUAGAAUCAUACAUGGACAAAUAGAAUUAAUUGAUC
Molecule: long non-coding RNA, 321 nt
Filed under: Phoenix dactylifera (date palm)
Lineage: Eukaryota; Viridiplantae; Streptophyta; Magnoliopsida; Arecales; Arecaceae
Description: long non-coding RNA (PDAC_LNC013668)
Source: RNAcentral